GACGAACGCUGGCGGCGUGCCUAAUACAUGCAAGUCGAGCGGACGGAUGGGAGCUUGCUCCCAGACCGUCAGCGGCGGACGGGUGAGUAACACGUGGGCAACCUGCCUGUAAGACUGGGAUAACUCCGGGAAACCGGGGCUAAUACCGGAUAACUCUUUCCCUCACAUGAGGGAAAGCUGAAAGAUGGCAUCUCGCUAUCACUUACAGAUGGGCCCGCGGCGCAUUAGCUAGUUGGUGAGGUAACGGCUCACCAAGGCGACGAUGCGUAGCCGACCUGAGAGGGUGAUCGGCCAAACGGGGACGGAGACAAGGCCCAGACUCCUACGGGAGGCAGCAGUAGGGAAUCUUCCGCAAUGGACGAAAGUCUGACGGAGCAACGCCGCGUGAGUGAUGAAGGUUUUCGGAUCGUAAAACUCUGUUGUCAGGGAAGAACAAGUACCGGAGUAACUGCCGGUACCUUGACGGUACCUGACCAGAAAGCCACGGCUAACUACGUG
RNAcentral lists this ribosomal RNA (498 nucleotides) under uncultured bacterium. Its description in RNAcentral is "partial 16S ribosomal RNA". It matches the Rfam family "Bacterial small subunit ribosomal RNA", at positions 28 to 507 of the family's 1533-position model. The record is from RNAcentral.